UCCGUGCUGUGGCGCGGUGCCUGUUAAUCCAAGUUACCGGAGGUUGGAGACUGCGUGGGAUCGUUUGAGUCAGGAUCUCUGAGCUGCAGUUGUACUAUGUCGAUCGGCUGUCCAAUAAGUUCCUGGUAUCGAUUGCGUGCCUCCUGGGCGAGGCCGGGACCACCCAGGUCGUCUAAGGAGGGUGCACCGGCCCAGGUCGGAAAAACGGAGCAGGGCCAAAACCCCCGUGCUUCAGUAGGUGGGAUCGCCGCCUGUGAAUAGAGGCUGUACGUUGAAGCCUGAGUAAUACAGCGGACCCCAGUUCUUUU
Molecule: signal recognition particle RNA, 308 nt
Filed under: Neogobius melanostomus (round goby)
Lineage: Eukaryota; Metazoa; Chordata; Actinopteri; Gobiiformes; Gobiidae
Description: Metazoan signal recognition particle RNA (ENSNMLG00000003718.1)
Rfam family: Metazoan signal recognition particle RNA
About the family: The signal recognition particle (SRP) is a universally conserved ribonucleoprotein. It is involved in the co-translational targeting of proteins to membranes.
Source: RNAcentral